This 557-nucleotide ribosomal RNA is filed under the name Colletotrichum gloeosporioides. RNAcentral describes it as "eukaryotic LSU rRNA". The stretch from base 194 to 347 matches the Rfam family "5.8S ribosomal RNA". Lineage: Eukaryota; Fungi; Ascomycota; Sordariomycetes; Glomerellales; Glomerellaceae. The record is from RNAcentral.
UAACCUGCGGAGGGAUCAUUACUGAGUUUACGCUCUAUAACCCUUUGUGAACAUACCUAUAACUGUUGCUUCGGCGGGUAGGGUCUCCGUGACCCUCCCGGCCUCCCGCCCCCGGGCGGGUCGGCGCCCGCCGGAGGAUAACCAAACUCUGAUUUAACGACGUUUCUUCUGAGUGGUACAAGCAAAUAAUCAAAACUUUUAACAACGGAUCUCUUGGUUCUGGCAUCGAUGAAGAACGCAGCGAAAUGCGAUAAGUAAUGUGAAUUGCAGAAUUCAGUGAAUCAUCGAAUCUUUGAACGCACAUUGCGCCCGCCAGCAUUCUGGCGGGCAUGCCUGUUCGAGCGUCAUUUCAACCCUCAAGCUCUGCUUGGUGUUGGGGCCCUACAGCUGAUGUAGGCCCUCAAAGGUAGUGGCGGACCCUCCCGGAGCCUCCUUUGCGUAGUAACUUUACGUCUCGCACUGGGAUCCGGAGGGACUCUUGCCGUAAAACCCCCAAUUCUCCAAAGGUUGACCUCGGAUCAGGUAGGAAUACCCGCUGAACUUAAGCAUAUCAAUAG